Amylostereum chailletii is the source of this 94-nucleotide non-coding RNA. NCBI's taxonomy places the organism in Eukaryota, Fungi, Basidiomycota, Agaricomycetes, Russulales, Stereaceae. The record is from the annotation of a GenBank genome assembly.
GCCGCCGUGGCCCAAUGGUAGGGCAUCAUUUUCCUACGACGCAUUCCACGUUGUUAAGAAGCGGGAGUUGCGGGUUCGAGUCCCGUCGGUGGUA